UGAAUGAAUAAAAACUUAUAUUCCUCUCCAUCUUCUCCAUUUUCGCAACUUUUGGACAGCCUCCACUAAAUCGGCCAUAACUCUCUACUCGUAGCUCCAAAUCAGGGAAGUUCUCGAUGAGAGAGAUAAGCGGGUUUGAAGAUUGGAGAUUCUUGCUGAAAGUGAAGAAAAGAGGCUUACGGGUUUGAUGGAGAAGAAGGGGAAAAGUCCAUAUUCUUGGCUAAGAUUGAGGGUAGCGGCGUGACUUGGUGAGGAUUAGCUCAUAAGUCGGUUUAGUUGUUGUGUCGGUGUCAUGCUCUGAUAGAUGUAACACUGGGAACGUGAUGUUUUGAGUUUCGAUUAUA
This is a long non-coding RNA of Vicia villosa (hairy vetch), 344 nucleotides long. RefSeq lists it as uncharacterized. NCBI's taxonomy places the organism in Eukaryota, Viridiplantae, Streptophyta, Magnoliopsida, Fabales, Fabaceae. The transcript is spliced from 3 exons. The record is from RefSeq and is a predicted model, not a curated record.